AGGGUUGCACCCAUGGCAUAUGGAGGUUACCAGGCAAGUGGUCUAAUUGGAGCUGUUGCCGCCAGCCUACGUGAGAGCCAUAGCAACAUCAGAUCUGAUCCGCAUCUGGGACCUACACCAUAGCUCAUGGCAAUGCCAGAUCCUUAACCCCCUUGACCCACUGAGAGAGGGAUCAAAACCCGCAACCUCCUGGUUCCUAGUUGGAUUCGUUUCCAAUGAACCAUGACAGGAACUCCAGGUUGGCUAAAAUUUUGUUGAGAAUUUUUGCAUCUCUAUUCCUCAGAGAUAUUGGCCUAUACAUUUCUUUUAUGGUAGUAUCUUUGUCUGGUUUUGGUAUUAGGGUGAUAGUGGCUUCAUAGAAUAUCUUUGGUGUUAGUCCUUCUUCAGCUUUUUGGAAAAGUUUAAGAAGGGUGGGUAUGAGUUCUUUGUAUGUUUGGUAGAAUUCGCUUGUGAAGCUGUCUAGUCCUGGACUUUUGUUUGUAGGGAAUGCUGUUUUUAAUUAAAUAUUCAGUUUCAUUUAUAGUGAUAAGUUUGUUCAAAUCAUCUAUUUCUUCUUAUUUCAGUUUUGGCAGGUUGUAUGUCUCGAGAAAGUUGUCCAUUUCCUGUAGGUUGUCAAAUUUGUUAGCAUAUAAUUGUUCAUAGUAUUCUCUUAUGGUUUUUUGUAUUUCUGUAGCAUCUGUUGAGAUUUCUCCAUUUUCAUUUCUUAUUUUGUUUUGAGUUCUUUCUAUCUUCCUCUUGGUGAGUCUGGCCAGAGGUUUAGCAACUUUUUUUUACCCUUUGAAAGAAACAACUCUUGGUUUUAUUGAUUUUUUUCUAUUGUUUUUGAAUCUCUAUUUUAUUGAUUUCCUCUCUGAUCUUUAUGAUUUUCUUCAUUCUGCUGAUUUUAAGUUUUGUUUGUUCUUUUUCUAAUUCUUUUAGGUGGUAGGUUAAGUAGUUGAUUUGAGAUUUUUCUUCUUUUCUGAGGAAGGCCUGUAUCCCUAUGAACCUCCCUCUAAGAACUGCUUUUGCAGCAUCCCACAGGUUUUGAAUGGUUGUGUUUUCAUUAUGAUUUGUCUACAGGUAUUUUUUUUUUCUUUGUCUUUUGUCAUCUUAGGGCCAUACCGUGGCAUGUGGAGGUUCCCAGGCUAGGGGUCAAAUCGGAGCUACAGCUGUUGGCCUACACCACAGCUACAGCAACACCAGAUCUGAGCUGCAUCUGCAACCUAUACCACAGCUCACGCCAGAUCCUUAACCCACUGAGCGAGGCCAGGGCUUGAACCUGCAACCUCACGGUUCCUAGUUGGAUUUGUUUCUGCUGCACCACAGCGGGAAUUCCCUGUCUACAGAUAUUUUUAAAUUUCCCUUUUGAUUUCCUCAUUGACCCAUUUUUUUUUUAGUAGCAUGUUUUUUAGUCUCCAUGUAGUCAGUUUUUUUUCUCAUUUCUUUUCCUGUGGUUGAUUUCUAGCUUCAUGCCAUUGUGGUCAGAGAAGAUGCCUGAAAUAAUUUCUACACUCUUCAAUUUGUUGAGGUUAUUUUUGUGCCCCAGUAUGUGGUUAAUCCUUGAGAAUAUCCAAUGCACACUUGAAAAGAAUGUAUUUUCUGAUUUUUUUUGGAUGUAAUGGCCUGAAAAUAUCAAUUAAGUCUAACUUUUUUAUUGUGCCAUUUAGAGUAUCUGUUGCCUUAUUGAUUUUCUGUCUAGAGGAUUUGUCUAUUGAUGCAAGUGAGGUGUUAAAGUCUCCUACUAUUAUUGUAUUCCCAUCAAUUUCUCCUUUUAUCUCUGUUAGUAUUUGUUGUAUGUGUUUGGGAGCUUCUAUAUUAGGGGCAUAUAUAUUGACGAUGUAAUACCCUCUUCUUGAUUUGAUCCUUUUAUCAUUAAAUAGUGUCCUUUCUUUGUCUUUCUUUAUCGCCUUUGUUUUGAAGUCUAUCUUGUUUGAUAUGAGUAUUGCAGCUCCUGAUUUCCUGUCUUUUCUAUUCACACGGAAUGUCUUUUUCCAUCUUCUCACUUUCAGUUUAUAUGUAUCCUUUGCUCUAAGCUGAGUCCCUUGUAGGCAGCAUAUUGUAGGCUCUUUUUUUUUUUUAACCCAGUAUGUGAUUCUGUGCCUUUUGAUUGGAGCAUUCAUUCCAAUAUUUAAGUUCAUUAUUGAUAAAUAUAUAUUUAUUGCCAUUUAAACCUUGUUUUACAGUUGAUUCUAUGUUUCUCCUUUGCUCCUUUCUUUUUUUUGGGGGGGUGGUUGGAUGAUUUCCUUUUAUUUUGUACUUGUUUUUGGUUUUCGUGAAUGUAUUGUCUGGUUUUGAUUUGUGGUUGCCCUCUUUUUCAAGUAUGUUAACCAUUUCCUAUAUCUGCUUGCUUUAGUCUGAUAGUCAUACAGGCUCAAACAUAUUCUACAAAAAGAAUCUAGAUUUUCUUACUUUCCUUCCCCACAUUUUGUGAUUUUUGAUGUCCUUCUUUAACAUCUUCAUGCUUAUCAUUUUGCUGUUCCUUGUGUUUAUCAUUGCUUUUACAAAUAGUUUUUUUUUUCUUUUUGAUCUGUACACUGGCUUAUUUAAGUGAUUACUUUCCAAAUGUGAUUUCCUCCAUCCUAUAUCUUCUUACGUUUUUCCUAUUUAGAGGAGAGUUUUCAGUAUUUCUUUUAUAAUGGGUUUGGUAUUGCUGUAUUCUUUUAAUUUUUGUUUGUUGGAGAAAUUCUUUAUUUCUCUUUCUAUUUUAAAUGAUAUUCUUGCUGAGUAGAGUACUCUAGGUUGCAAAUUUUUCCCUUUUAGAACUUUGAAUGUAUCUUGCCACUCUCUUCUGGUCUGUAAUGUUUCUGUAGAGAAAUCAGGCUAUUAGACCUAUGGGAGUUCCCUUAUAAUUAACCUUUUUUCUCUUGCUGCCUUUGGAAUCCCCUCCUUAUCUUUAACUUUUGCCAUUUUUAUUAUAAUAUGUCUUGUUGUGGAUCUGUUUGGGUAGCCCUCUGUGCUUCCUGUAUCUUGAUAUCUAUUUCCUUUAGAUUUGGACAUUUUUCAGCCAUAAUUUCUACAAAUAUAUUUUCAAUCCCCUUUUUAUUUUCCUUCUGGAAUCUCUAUUAUGCAGAGAUAGUCUAGCUUCAUAUUAUCCUGUUGAUCUCUUAUAUUGCUUUCAUGUUUUUUUUCAUUUGGUUUUCUGUCUGCUGUCCUGAUUGAGUGAUUUCCGUUAUUCUAUCUUCCAAGUCACUAAUUCAUUCCUCUGUGUUAUUCAUCCUACUCUUCAGUGCAUUUAACUCAGCUUGCAUCUCUGCAAAUGAGUUUUCUAAUUUUUCUUGGCUCCUCCUUAUAUUUUCUAGUUCCCUUUUAAAGUAAUCUGCGUUACUGUUCAUAUCCACUCUUAAUUCCUUCAUAUUCACUCUUAAUUCCUAUAUGUAGAUUUUUGGAUGAUGGCUAUUCUGACUGGAGUGAUUUGAGACCUUAUUGUAGUGUAAUUUAUGUUUCUCAAAUAAUUAGUGAUGUUGAACAUUUUUUCAUGUGUGUUGACCAUUUGUAUGUCUUCUUGGAGAAAUAUCUAUUAGAUCUUCUAACCUUUUUUUGAUUGGGUUGUUUGUUUUUUGAUCAUGAGCCGCCCAGCUGUUUUGUGUAUUUUGGAGAUUAAUCUCUUGUUGGUCUUAUUGUUUGCAAAUAUCUUCUCCCAUUCUGUAGGUUGUCUUUUCAUCCUGCUUAUGGGUUCCUUUGUCAUGCAAAAGCUUUUAAGUUUAAUUGGGUUCCAUUUAUUUAUUUUUGUUUUUAUUUCCAUUACUCUAGGAGAUGGAUCCAAAAAGAUAUUGUUGUGAUUUAUGUUAGAGAGUGUUGUGCCUAUGUUUUUCUCUAGGAGUCUCAUAGUAUCUGGCCUUAUAUUUAGGUCCUUAAUCCAUUUUGCAUUUAUUUUUGUGUAUGGUAUUAGAGAAUGUUCUAAUUUCAUUCUUUGACUUGUAGCUAUCCUGUUUUCCCAGAGACUUUCUUUUCUCCAUUGUAUAUUCUUGUCUCCUGUCAUAGAUUGAUUGAACACAGGUGUGUGGGUUUAUUUUUGGGCUUUCUAUCCUGUUUCAUCCUGUCUGUUUUUGUGCUGGUACCGUACUAUUUUGAUGACUGUAGCUUUGUAGUAUAGUCUGAGGUCAGGGAGCCUGAUACCUUCAGCUCUGUUCCCCCCCCUUUCUUUCUUCUCAAGAUUGCUUUGACUAUUCGGGGUCUUUAUGUUUCCAUAUAAAAUUGGAUUUUGAUGAUCAUUGUAUAAGUAUAAAUGUAAUAAAUUCAUUGAGUAAUAAAAAAAGAAAAAAAAUUUUGUUCUAGUUCUGUGAAAAAUGCCAUUGGUAAUUUGAUAGGGAUUGUAUUGAUUAUGUAGAGUUCCUUGGGUAGUAUAGUCAUUUUCACAAUGCUGAGUUUGAUUAUUUUAAAUACUUCAUAUAAGCACAAUUUUUUUGGUAAGGACAUAUUUAUACUUAAUGGGAACUACUUUAUGUAUAACUCAUUACUGUUUGAAUCUGUGGGACAACCUAAUUUGUGUUAAAGUAAAACUCAACAAUUCUGACCCAUCAUUGUCUGGUUUUCAUUCCCAUUCUUUAAGUCCCAUACCGUCAAAGUUAUAGUUAGUUGUUUUAACACCCACUCUCUCGCUCUUUCUCUCUCUGUGUGUAAAUUAUUUAUUUAUUUUUUUGGCUUUUUAGGGCCUCACCUGCUGUAUAUGGCAGUUCCCAGGUAGGGGUCGAAUUGGAGCUAUAGCUGCCGGCCUACUCCACAGCCACAACAAUGUGGGGUCUGAGCUGUGUCUGCACAGCAAAGCCAGAUCUUUAACCCACUAAGCAAGGCUGGGGAUUGAACUAGUCCUCAUGGAUAGUCGGGUUCGUUACUGAUGAGCGAUUAUGGGAACUCCUUGUUUUAACAUAUUUUUAAGCAAUGCUCAUAAAUGAACUAAUGCUGUUUGAGUAUAUUCUGUAUAUUAGACUUUUUAUAUCAGUGUUCUCAUGAGGAAAUAUUAUCUUUGUUUAUAGUUAGAGAAACCAAGUCUCAAAGAGAUUGAAUAAUGUACCAAAAGAGUUCCUGUUGUGACUCAGCUGGUUAAGAACCUGACUAGUGUCCAUGAGGAUGCAGGUUUGAUCCCUGGCCUCACUCAGUGGAUUAAUAGUCUGGCAUUGCUGUUAGCUGUGGUGUAGGUUACAGAUGCGGCUCUGAUCUGAUAUUGCUGUGACUGUGGUGUAGGCCAAUAGCUGCAGCUCUGAUUCAACCCCUAGUCUGGGAACUUCUGUAUGCUGCAGGCGCAACCCUAAAAAUAAAAAAUGAAAAAAAGUGCCAAAGAGCACAUAACUACCAAAUGUAUAGCUGGAACAUAUACCCAGGUCUGACUCACUCCAAGGGAAUAACCAAAGCUCUCGCCACCAAACUCUCACUUGCUGAAAGUUUGAGUUAUUGGCAUAGAACACAAUUAAUUACAUGU
Molecule: long non-coding RNA, 5395 nt
Filed under: Sus scrofa (pig)
Lineage: Eukaryota; Metazoa; Chordata; Mammalia; Artiodactyla; Suidae
Description: lncRNA (ENSSSCG00025064807.1)
Source: RNAcentral